Molecule: transfer RNA, 73 nt
Filed under: Pelecanus crispus (Dalmatian pelican)
Lineage: Eukaryota; Metazoa; Chordata; Aves; Pelecaniformes; Pelecanidae
Rfam family: tRNA
About the family: Transfer RNA (tRNA) molecules are approximately 80 nucleotides in length. Their secondary structure includes four short double-helical elements and three loops (D, anti-codon, and T loops).
Source: Rfam by way of RNAcentral
GCAGGUUAGCUCAGUUGGUUAGAGCAUGGUGCUAAUAACACCAAGUUCACAGGUUCAAUCCCUGCUUACUGCA